Caretta caretta (loggerhead turtle) is the source of this 815-nucleotide non-coding RNA. NCBI's taxonomy places the organism in Eukaryota, Metazoa, Chordata, Testudines, Cheloniidae. The record is from RefSeq and is a predicted model, not a curated record.
CCUGGAAGGAGAAAAGGAAGGAGAAACGCGACGUAAAGCGAGUCACAGGCCCGUCUCCUCCACGGGCGGGAUCCGACCCCCGCCCCAGGAAAGCCCCACACGGAGCAAGCCCGCGCCACCGCUCACCGCCAGCGCCACAGGACCGCGCGGCUCAUCCCGUUCCACCACCACGCGUCACGUCCGGCGCAGUGUGACACACUUCCGGUCUACGGAGCGGAACUGGCGCGUCGGCCGAGAGACUAACGCAAGACCCCCAAACCUCCCUACGCCGUGGCGCCUUCCGGUGAAGUGUCGGAAUUAGCGACGACUGAGCAUGCGCGCGUGUCCGAGCAUGCUCCGUAAUAUCUUCUGAAGCCGCUCUCCUCCGUUGGCUACGUCACUCGGAAGGUCCACGCUGCUGGCGGGGGGUCGGGACGGCCACGGGCCGUGUGUGCAGGGGCCUCGGAGCGGGCAGAGGGUGCGCGAGCCACGGUUGGAGGGGCAGAGGCGAUAACACUUACUGGAGAUGGGCUGGGCAGAAUUGGCAUAGACUAAGAUAAGAUGUUUCCAAAAGCACCAAGGUCUCUGCGUAAUCCUUGAAGGCUCCUUAUGCGUUUCCUGAGCAUGCUACCCAGUAUGGGGGUUUCUUUGCAUGUUCCUUGAUGAAGAGCUCAUUGGACAGAACUGCUGGUCCAGUAUUGCCACAGUUGAUUCCAGCUGUACGUUCAGCACAAACCAAAGUGAGGCUUGCAGUCUGAUGGCUUCACAGUGCUGUUUGUAUACAACCUGACAUGAAAGUCUGGAUCCGAUUAAAAUAUCUCUCUUGCCUCCUUCCA